This is a long non-coding RNA of Zophobas morio, 510 nucleotides long. RefSeq lists it as uncharacterized. The transcript is spliced from 3 exons. NCBI's taxonomy places the organism in Eukaryota, Metazoa, Arthropoda, Insecta, Coleoptera, Tenebrionidae. The record is from RefSeq and is a predicted model, not a curated record.
UUGAAGUUCACGAAGUUUUUAUUAUUAAUACUAUGAUACCUGGCUCCGGAUCCAAAUUAAUACCUUCCAUUGUAUCUGAGUGCUUGCUCAUGUUAAAAUAAAACCCUCUCUCGCAGUCCUUAAAAGGAUUUGUGCCAUUUAUAAGUUUUAUUCAGACAUUAUACCGAGGAGAUCAAUUCUGCCGAUUUUAAGCAAUUCAACCCAUUUACUUUAACGAAACAAUUAUUACUGUCGCUAUUUAUCCUUACCGGAGCGUAUACAUCGUUGUGUUCCAAAGGUAAUUUCUUCACUCUAUGAGCUCACAGAAUCCUGUUUUGCCGUUAUUUCCAAGCAAUAGCAGUGUCUUUUCAUACGUUGUCUGAGGGAGAGCUCCUAAAAUCUAUUGAUGUUCAUUCUCUCGCUUGCUGUGGUGCUUUUGUAUUGCAUUCUACUCUGGAGCAGAGAAGAUAAUUCUAUAUGCUAAAGGUUAUACAUAUUUAUUUCCUUUCUUUAACAUUCACUAGCUCCUCC